This is a long non-coding RNA of Xyrauchen texanus (razorback sucker), 1065 nucleotides long. RefSeq lists it as uncharacterized. The transcript is spliced from 3 exons. NCBI's taxonomy places the organism in Eukaryota, Metazoa, Chordata, Actinopteri, Cypriniformes, Catostomidae. The record is from RefSeq and is a predicted model, not a curated record.
CAACAGGGAUGCUACUGGCUGACGAGCUGCACAUAUACGAGAGUAAAGUGUACAACACUUAUCCAGUACAUAGGUACCCAGCUUUCUCACAUCCUGGAAGGCACUGCCAAAGGUCUGAUCAGGAUGUAUCACUCUGGAAGAGGUGAUGUUGAAGAGGAGUUGAAAGACCUAUCAACACAUGUAGAUGAGCAGACACCAGACAUGGCCAUGCAUCGAAGGUCAGCGGCACUCAGAGAUCUUCAGUUUUAUAUUCGGGAAUACGUACCAAUUGUUAAGAACUUUAAGGUAUAUCAACUUGGUUAGUGAAACAAAACACUGAUGCAUUGACCUUUUUAUAUAUCUUUAAUUGUUUUUGACAUUUCUGUUUUUCAAAUAUUGGUUUCAUUGAGACUUCAGUAGAUCUGUGUGAAUUCCUGGGUUCAGAGGUGGACGUGCAUGUAGUGCUGGAGGAAGUUGUUGUCAUGGACAGCCUUCCAAACUUUCCGACUGCCUUUGGAAUAUAUUGAGUUAUCCUAAACAGUGGAAGAAACUUUGAGGCUCAGUCUUUGAGUCUUGACAGUAAAAAAAAUGUAAUCUUGAAUUCAGUCACUAAGAACCAGACUUUUGUUGGCAUGGACAGACAAAAGAACAAAAUCACCACUUCCGGAUAAAUUGUAGUCACUGUGACACUUUUAGAAAUAAAUUACUUGUGGUUUAGUGCACACAGACAAAACACUGUAAUGAAAUUUGUCUUGUGUCUGGGAGCACUGUGUGUGUGCCUUCCUCAAUCCUUAUGUUUUUAUCAUGCGGAUCUAUAAGAUAUUUUUCAAAAGUGUCAAUAAACCUGAAUUUUGGCACUGUUUAACUUUGUAUUCGGAUUUAUUUGCUCUUCAAACUCUAUGCAGCCUUUGGAUUUUAAAGACACCAUUAUUUCAGGAUGACCAGAGCAACAUUUCAGAUGCAAUGAUUAGUCUGCUGGUUUGUCCUGUUUAGUGCUGCACGAUUAAUCAUAUUGCAAUCGCGAUGUCAGCCUGUGCAAUUAUAUGACGGCAAAUGCUGCGAUUUCAUUAAAUAAAUAAGUGCAUG